RNAcentral lists this ribosomal RNA (505 nucleotides) under uncultured bacterium. RNAcentral describes it as "partial 16S ribosomal RNA". It matches the Rfam family "Bacterial small subunit ribosomal RNA", at positions 28 to 507 of the family's 1533-position model. The record is from RNAcentral.
GACGAACGCUGGCGGCGUGCCUAAUACAUGCAAGUAGGACGCACAGUCUAUACCGUAGCUUGCUACACCAUAGGCUGUGAGUUGCGAACGGGUGAGUAACGCGUAGGUAACCUGCCUAUUAGAGGGGGAUAACUAUUGGAAACGAUAGCUAAUACCGCAUAACAGUAUGUAACACAUGUUAGAUGCUUGAAAGAUGCAAUUGCAUCGCUAGUAGAUGGACCUGCGUUGUAUUAGCUAGUAGGUAGGGUAAUGGCCUACCUAGGCGACGAUACAUAGCCGACCUGAGAGGGUGAUCGGCCACACUGGGACUGAGACACGGCCCAGACUCCUACGGUAGGCAGCAGUAGGGAAUCUUCGGCAAUGGGGGGAACCCUGACCGAGCAACGCCGCGUGAGUGAAGAAGGUUUUCGGAUCGUAAAGCUCUGUUGUUAAGGAAGAACGAGUGUGAGAAUGGAAAGUUCAUACUGUGACGGUACUUAACCAGAAAGGGACGGCUAACUACGUG